CAGUGUUGGUUGAUUUGAGAAUCUCUCAGUUCUUGGGACAAAAGUAUUAGUAAGUGUAGCAAAAUUGUCAAAGCUCAGAGCUACUCGUUAACUUUUAUACCAUAGGAUUUUUACCUGAUGUGCAUGUUUAAAGCAUCAAGGAAACUCAGCUUUUCCAAAAGAAUG
Long non-coding RNA from Camelus ferus (Wild Bactrian camel), 165 nucleotides. It matches the Rfam family "FAS antisense RNA 1 conserved region". NCBI's taxonomy places the organism in Eukaryota, Metazoa, Chordata, Mammalia, Artiodactyla, Camelidae. The record is from Rfam.